This 724-nucleotide long non-coding RNA is filed under the name Suricata suricatta (meerkat). Its description in RNAcentral is "lncRNA (ENSSSUG00005000047.1)". The record is from RNAcentral. Lineage: Eukaryota; Metazoa; Chordata; Mammalia; Carnivora; Herpestidae.
GGGAGGGAUACUAGGCUCUGUGUUGACAGUGUGAGGCCUGCUUGGGAUUCUCUCCUUCCCCUCCUCCUCUCCUACCCUCUCUCCUUCUCCCCCUCACCCCCUCCUCCUCCUUCUCUUCUCCCCUCCUCCUCCUUCUCUUAUCCCCUCCUCCUCCCCCUCCCUCUGACAGCGAGCUGCCCAUCUGGCAAAACCCUCCGUGGUGGCCGAAAGACCUGGAGAGCAGAGGACCCACCGCAGGGACAUCGGAGACUCGAUGCUCUCCUGUCUGCGCCUUAGGAGUAGCUCUCCAGUCUUCACAGCGAGGAACUAAGGAGCCAGGGCCCUGGAGGUGGAGGGAAAGACAAGAGGGGAACCCAGGACAGGAUGCUCUUCCCUCUGGCACCUCCCACGGGCCGCUUCCCCGAGGGCCCUCAGCCCUGACCGCUUCUCUCCUUCUGGGCCGUCCCUGCGUCUUCGCUAUGGAAUGCAGCCCAACUUGGCAAUGCUGGAGCUCGAACCCCAGCCCCUAGGAAUCAUGUCAUCGCCAAAGCGAGGAGUGAGAGCUGCCCUGGACAUCGCGAGCCGUCGUGGGUGGAAGUCAGGAACUCUGUGGACACAUGUAAAUGAAGGCCAUGUCCCCUCCUUCAAUGCAGGCGCGCAGCUCACAAUUCACUCCACAAGCAGUUUCCUAGUCUGCUUUACAGCAAGGGAGCUGCGGUGCUGCCCCCAGUGGUUUGCCCCAGAC